RNAcentral lists this ribosomal RNA (253 nucleotides) under uncultured bacterium. RNAcentral describes it as "partial 16S ribosomal RNA". It matches the Rfam family "Bacterial small subunit ribosomal RNA", at positions 524 to 776 of the family's 1533-position model. The record is from RNAcentral.
AACGUAGGGGGCAAGCGUUGCCCGGAAUCACUGGGCGUAAAGCGGGUGUAGGCGGUCCUUUAAGUCGGAUGUGAAAGUCCAGGGCUCAACCCUGGGAUGCCGGUCGAUACUGCCGGACUAGAGUUCGGAAGAGGCGAGUGGAAUUCCCGGUGUAGCGGUGAAAUGCGCAGAUAUCAGGAGGAACACCAAUUGCGAAGGCAGCUCGCUGGGACGUUACUGACGCUGAGACGCGAAAGCGUGGGGAGCAAACAGG